RNAcentral lists this ribosomal RNA (702 nucleotides) under Halorubrum sp. A3FP21. RNAcentral's name for it is "bacterial SSU rRNA". It matches the Rfam family "Archaeal small subunit ribosomal RNA", at positions 37 to 740 of the family's 1478-position model. The record is from RNAcentral. Lineage: Archaea; Methanobacteriati; Methanobacteriota; Halobacteria; Halobacteriales; Haloferacaceae.
UGACCGAAUUAGCCAUGCUAGUCGCACGAGUUCAGACUCGUGGCGAAUAGCUCAGUAACACGUGGCCAAACUACCCUUCGGAACACAAUACCCUCGGGAAACUGAGGCUAAUAGUGUAUACCAUACCACCACUGGAAUGAGUGGUAUGCCAAACGCUCCGGCGCCGAAGGAUGUGGCUGCGGCCGAUUAGGUAGACGGUGGGGUAACGGCCCACCGUGCCAAUAAUCGGUAUGGGUCAUGAGAGUGAGAACCCAGAGACGGAAUCUGAGACAAGAUUCCGGGCCCUACGGGGCGCAGCAGGCGCGAAACCUUUACACUGCACGACAGUGCGAUAGGGGGAUCCCAAGUGCACAGGCAUAGCGCCUGUGCUUUUCGGUACCCUAAGGCGGUACCAGAAUAAGGGCUGGGCAAGACCGGUGCCAGCCGCCGCGGUAAUACCGGCAGCCCAAGUGAUGGCCGAUCUUAUUGGGCCUAAAGCGUCCGUAGCUGGCCGCGCAAGUCCAUCGGGAAAUCCACCUGCUCAACAGGUGGGCGCCCGGUAGAAACUGCGUGGCUUGGGACCGGAAGGCGCGACGGGUACGUCCGGGGUAGGAGUGAAAUCCCGUAAUCCUGGACGGACCGCCGAUGGCGAAAGCACGUCGCGAGAACGGAUCCGACAGUGAGGGACGAAAGCCAGGGUCUCGAACCGGAUUAGAUACCCGG